GUAUGUUAUCUUUCAUUAAAAUACUUUCCCUAAUUUAUCUUUUACUAUGAGUUCAAUUAAGUUUAAUAGAUAUAGGAAGAUGUGGUGUGAGUGCCAAUGAGACAACUCUCCAUACAAAUAACAAUUUAAAAAGUAAACCAUUAUAGGUUAAAGUACGGCCUUCAACACGGAGCCUUGGCUCACACCGAACAACAAGCUAUAAGCAUGUUAAGAGGAAGUCCUCAUAUGAACUGAACUGUAUGUUAUCUUCAUUCAUGUUGUGUUUACAUAUUAUAAAAGUAUUAUGAGUUUCUCAAGCUCAUUGUUAGUAAAAUAAUAUACACAUAUAAAAUGAGAAUGAAAAUGUGUCAAAGAGGCAACCCAUUGAACCAAAGAGCAGAAAACAGCCCAAGGUCAACAAUGGGUCUUCAACAAGCAAGAUCCUGCACACUGAGAAUAUAUAUAUUACCAAUAAUGGGCUUCAG
RNAcentral lists this long non-coding RNA (464 nucleotides) under Mytilus galloprovincialis (Mediterranean mussel). Lineage: Eukaryota; Metazoa; Mollusca; Bivalvia; Mytilida; Mytilidae. The record is from RNAcentral.